UGGGGAAUUUUGGACAAUGGGGGAAACCCUGAUCCAGCCAUCCCGCGUGUGCGAUGAAGGCCUUCGGGUUGUAAAGCACUUUUGGCAGGAAAGAAACGUCAUGGGUUAAUACCCCGUGAAACUGACGGUACCUGCAGAAUAAGCACCGGCUAACUACGUGCCAGCAGCCGCGGUAAUACGUAGGGUGCAAGCGUUAAUCGGAAUUACUGGGCGUAAAGCGUGCGCAGUCGGUUCGGAAAGAAAGAUGUGAAAUCCCAAAGCUCAACUUUGGAACUGCAUUUUUAACUACCGGGCUAGAGUGUGUCAGAGGGAGGUGGAAUUCCGCGUGUAGCAGUGAAAUGCGUAGAUAUGCGGAGGAACACCGAUGGCGAAGGCAGCCUCCUGGGAUAACACUGACGCUCAUGCACGAAAGCGUGGGGAGCAAACAGG
Molecule: ribosomal RNA, 429 nt
Filed under: Acidobacteriota bacterium
Lineage: Bacteria; Pseudomonadati; Acidobacteriota
Description: Acidobacteria bacterium partial 16S ribosomal RNA
Rfam family: Bacterial small subunit ribosomal RNA
Source: RNAcentral